Molecule: ribosomal RNA, 437 nt
Filed under: uncultured bacterium
Lineage: Bacteria
Description: bacterial SSU rRNA
Rfam family: Bacterial small subunit ribosomal RNA
Source: RNAcentral
AUGGGAACGCGAAGAACCUUACCUAGACUUGACAUCUCCUGAAUAGUGUAGAGAUACAUGAAGCCCUUCGGGGCAGGAAGACAGGUGGUGCAUGGUUGUCGUCAGCUCGUGUCGUGAGAUGUUGGGUUAAGUCCCGCAACGAGCGCAACCCUUAUCAUUAGUUGCUACCAUUUAGUUGAGCACUCUAGUGAGACUGCCCGGGUUAACCGGGAGGAAGGCGGGGAUGACGUCAAAUCAUCAUGCCCCUUAUGUCUAGGGCUACACACGUGCUACAAUGGUGAGAACAACGAGAUGCAAUACCGCGAGGUGGAGCAAAAACUUCAAAACUCAUCUCAGUUCGGAUUGUAGGCUGAAACUCGCCUACAUGAAGUUGGAGUUGCUAGUAAUCGCGAAUCAGAAUGUCGCGGUGAAUACGUUCCCGGGUCUUGUACACACCG